AAUGGAGUCGAGGUGCUGUACGCUUGUGUUAUGUGUUAUCUCUACGUCGAUCCGGUGACGUAAAGUUCCAAUAUCACUUUGGAAAUCUCAACAACACCACCCUCUUUGGCAAUUUGGUUUGACCAUGUCAGUGCAAUACCAUUUCCAGUAUGCUUCGUUUAAGAUGUCCAGUAUGCUUUUAAUGACUCCAGCUUUUACCAUUUCCAUUUUACAAGCAAGUCUGUCUUUUCCUAACUUGACUAGAGCUCUGAAAAUGGCCUCGUGAAGUACAAAGUUUCUACCAGACAGUAGACUAACAAGAGGGACAACUGCACUGUGUGUGGCAACUAAUUCAGCCAAAUGCUUAUCAUCAACGAGCCUAUCCAGUGCCCGAACAACUGAAUGAUGAGCAUAUUAUUGCUAUUGGAAUGAAAUUAACUUCUUAUACAUUGUUGAAGCUGAGACAAAGCCUUGUUAAAGAAAGAAAGAAAUUAACUUCACUACAAUUAUUAUGUCCAAUUACUGUUGUAUACUACCAGUCUCAAAUCGAGUGACUGUUGCUACAUUGACAGAUCUUGGUUUCUUAUGGUUUAGAGAAUUUUAUGUCAUUCAGUGACAAGUCCAUCAAAGUUGAGUUAUGCACCAUUCAACAUGAAACUAGCCAACAAAAGAGCAAUACUUCAAGUGGGAUAUUGGUUUCAACGGUCCAGUUUUUCAAGCCAAGGUUGCUAUUUUCCAAGGCUUCGCGUACAUAAAAUGGUCACCGCAUUGUACAAUUUCAACGGUACAGUUUUUUUGUUAACGUUGUCUUUCCCUCGAAACUUGUUAAGAAUGGUGUGGUUGUAAGCAACGUGUUUUUGUGAAUGGUGUGUUAGAAUGUAAGCAACGUGUUUUUGUGAACUAUGUAAUUACUUGCUCUUCAAUUCCGAUUAAACAAAAACGGUUUUUUAAGAAUUCAGUCCACAAUUAUGUAAUUACU
Molecule: long non-coding RNA, 958 nt
Organism: Vicia villosa (hairy vetch)
Lineage: Eukaryota; Viridiplantae; Streptophyta; Magnoliopsida; Fabales; Fabaceae
Exons: 3
Source: RefSeq, a predicted model, not a curated record